Molecule: long non-coding RNA, 3096 nt
Filed under: Homo sapiens (human)
Lineage: Eukaryota; Metazoa; Chordata; Mammalia; Primates; Hominidae
Description: HSALNT0037525
Source: RNAcentral
CCGGGCUCCGCCGUGACUUUCUUCACCCCGGCUGGUGGCCCGAUGCUAGGGCUGUGGCGGUGCGAAGUGGCUCACCGACCGGCCUGCGUGGCGGGGACCGGCCUGCGUGGCGGGGACCGGCCAGCCGAGCCCGCCCAGUCCUGAGCGCAGCGCCUGCGGCUGCGGGCUACACCUGUCCCGCCGCAAGUCCGCCCCGCGCGGGGGACCGGGGGUGCUGCCGGGCACGAAGCUCAACGGGUUCUGUGCUGCAAGCGGCGGCUCGCGCCUGGGAGACCAGCGGCAGGAAGUGCGGGCAGCGGCCGGCCAGGUCCCCGGGGAGGCCGGGGCGCGGCGUGCACGCUCCUCCGCGCAGCUGGCGAGCCGCACCGCCCCCGCGGCACCUCCAUGCGCCCCUGGCCUGCUCGCUAGUCGCUGUCCUCCAGAGGAUUCAGCAGGACCGUUCCUCUUCCUCGGCCGCGAGCACGUGCGCGGGGGUGCGCGCGGAGGUCACGGUCACUGCGGGGCUCAGGGAAGGAGGCGCCGUGCCUGCAGGACUUCCCUUCGCUUGGGCGCAAGCCGGCGAUUAGCCUGGUCCCCUAGGACAUCUCCAGGGCUCCGGGGAACCUCUCCUGCGCAGGCUUGGCCCUGCCUCCUCCAAGCGUCCGAGUCUUUUUCGGCUUUUCGUGAGCCUCAGAGAGGGACGUUUCCUGCCAACGCUGCUGCGAAGGAAAGUUUGGGCGGCGUUAUCCCGACUGCCUUCCUCGCCAGCGCCGGCGAGCAGCUUGGGGACACAGCCGACGCCCGGGCAUCCUCCCCGACGACCCCCCGGAGCGCUCCCAGUUCAGACUCCUUUCCGAGAAGCGCGCAGAAGUGACAGCCCCGGAGCUUCGUUCCGGUGUAGGUGUGGGGAUGCGCCGCAAGGCAGGAGGGGAAGGCGCUCCAGUUGAAGGGGGCACCCCGGGGCCCGCGCCGACUCCUCCCGGCGCAGCCUUGGCUCGCCGGAGUCGCGGGUCGGAGGCUGGCGCCGCUGCCCGCCGACCAGCACCCUGGCGCCAGGCGCCCGGCUCCACGCCGCACCCUUGGCGACGCUGUGCGAGGGGCUCUAGCGCCCGCCGCGGCGCAGUCUCGUGAACCCCCGCUCCAAUUUUUUCCUACGGAGGCGCAGAGGAGGGUGAAUUCGCGCUCUCCUUCCCGACGCCCCGGCUUCUGGGAGCGUCAGAGCAACGGAAGUACGUACAGGAGGACCGAGAGCAGCAGGGAAGUUUGGCGGUGGGCUGGGGUCGGCGGCGAAGAUUCCCUGCCGUGCGCUGCCCCCUCGUGGCCGCUUUGCGUUCCCGUCGGGAAGGGCUGGGUUCCAGUCCAGGGCCCAGCACAAACCAGGAUUGGUUGGACGCUGCACAGCGAGUUCAGUCAGGGCUAACAUCAGAAGAGUCGUGGGGGGCCUGCCUAUCGGCCAGCCUGUCCUUGUGGUUUGUGAAGUUGUAUGAUCUUUCUGUUAUUAUUAAGGAAAAAAGUAGUAUUUGUUGAGGCUAAAAGGCCAAGAGCGUGCUAUAUAUUAUUUAAUCCUCUAAACAGCUCUGCCAGAUAAUUAUUUUAUUUAUUUAUAUUUACUUCCAUAGCUUUAGACAGGAUCUCGUUCUGUCAGGCAGGCUAGAGCGCGGGGUGCUAUCACGGCUCACUGCAGCCUCAAACUCUUGGGCUCAAGCCAUCCUUUCACCUCAGCCUCCUGAAUAGUUGAAACUACAGGUGCGCCACCACGCCUGGCUAAAUUUUUAAUUUAAAUUUUUUGUAGCGACAGGGUCUCCUUAUGUUGCCCAGGCUAGUCUCAAACUCCUGGGCUCAAGAGAUCCUCCAACCUCAUCUUCACAAAGUGCUGGGAGUACAGGCGCCAGCCACGGUGCCCAACCUGUGAUAAUUAUUUUAAACUCAUUUUACAAAUGAGGAAAGUGAUAUUCAUACUUGUAAAGCCAUUGGGGCUGAAUUUUCAUUUUUGUAUCCACAGAACUAACACAUAAAGUUUACAUGCCAUUAGAAUGUAAGCUCUCUGUAAGCUACAGAUCUUUUCUACUGUAAUAUCCUUAGUGCCUAGGGCAGUGACUAGCAUAUAGUAGGUGUUCAAUAAAUAUUUGUAGAAUUAAUGAAAGGAUACGUCUCUCUUUCUCUCUCUCCCUCUCUCUCUCUCUCUCUCUCAUCACCUACUGGUGAUUUGAAGGCAGAUCUUAGUAUCUCAAUUACACAUAUCCUGUGCUUAUAUCAGGAUGCUAGUCCCUGCUGCCUCUGCUUCCCAACCCACAUGACAGAAAAUGCGGUCAAAUCUUCAUGAGCCUUUCUUCCAACAACAUCAGCCACUCCUGGAAGUUCUAAAACUCUAUCACUAGUAUGGACCAGUGGUCACUCUUUGGACCCGUGUGCCUUGGCCACAGGAGCAGGAUCAUCUGGAACCUGGCAGCACUCUCUGUAGUCACACAGGAGAAGUGAGAAUUUCCAGAAGAAUUGCCGUGCUGGGCAGUCAGAACCACAGAUGCCCGUGCCAGAAGCUCACCGCCACAUCUCUGCCCUCAGUACAUCUUUAUCUUGCACGACCCAAGACAGACAAGAGCAAGAGAGAGCCACUUAAGCCCACCUUUCCCAGCUUUCUUCUCUCUCCACUUUACCCCUUUUGCCCCUGCCAUAACCAGCACCCACAGGACACACAGACUAUGCACCCAGAUGUCCACAGUGACUGGGCAGGGCAUGAAAUUAACGAAGCAGGGUGAACCCCAGGCAACAGGGCCUGGUGGGGACUGCAGUGAGCUUUGUCUGCACCCUUCAGAGGAAGUAGCUGCUGCCCAGCUCCAGCCCUGGGGGAAUGACGACCAAAUGUUGCUAGACCUUCAUACCUUUCAAGAGAAGUUGGAAGUGCUGCUUUUUACAUGACAUCUCCUGAUGUUCAACAGUUGGCAACCGAUUUAGUUCUCAAAAACCACCAUAUUAGCCAAACAAAAUAAAUGUGUGGUCAAAUUGGCCUACAGACCGCCAGUUUACAAUUUCUGGUUGAAGUAGCCAAGUACACUGUGCUACAGCGUGAGGGAAUUUGAGGGUGUGAACUAAAUAGUUGAAGUAUUACAAAUACAGUCU